RNAcentral lists this ribosomal RNA (525 nucleotides) under Candona sp. 39 IK-2020. Its description in RNAcentral is "SSU rRNA". It matches the Rfam family "Eukaryotic small subunit ribosomal RNA", at positions 524 to 1056 of the family's 1831-position model. Lineage: Eukaryota; Metazoa; Arthropoda; Ostracoda; Podocopida; Candonidae. The record is from RNAcentral.
UUUAAAUCCUUUAAGAAGGAUCCAUUGGAGGGCAAGUCUGGUGCCAGCAGCCGCGGUAAUUCCAGCUCCAAUAGCGUAUAUUAAAGUUGCUGCAGUUAAAAAGCUCGUAGUUGGAUCUCAGUUACGGGCAGGUGGUUCACUUUACAGUGUUACUACCUGAACCGAACCUAUUGCUGGAUCUCUUGGGUGCCCUUCACUGGGUGCCCCUUGAGACCAGAGCGUUUACUUUGAGAAAAUUAGAGUGCUCAAAGCAGGCGAAUGCCUGAAUAGUUGUGCAUGGAAUAAUGAAAUAUGGCCUCGGUACUGUUUUGUUGGUUCACGGUGCUCGAGGUAAUGGUUGAAAGGGACUGACGGGGGCAUUCGUAUUGCGACGUUAGAGGUGAAAUUCUUAGAUCGUCGCAAGACGGACUACUGCGAAAGCAUUUGCCAAGAAUGUCUUCAUUAAUCAAGAACGAAAGUCAGAGGUUCGAAGGCGAUCAGAUACCGCCCUAGUUCUGACCUUAAACGAUGCUAACUGGCGAUCCA